This 468-nucleotide ribosomal RNA is filed under the name uncultured bacterium. Its description in RNAcentral is "partial 16S ribosomal RNA". It matches the Rfam family "Bacterial small subunit ribosomal RNA", at positions 28 to 507 of the family's 1533-position model. The record is from RNAcentral.
GAUGAACGCUGGCGGCGUGCUUAACACAUGCAAGUCGAACGAAGAGGCCCUGCUUGUGGGGUGUGCUAGUGUGGAACGGGUGUGUGACACACGAGUAUACCCUGCCUUACUCUGUGGGAAGCCUUGGGAAAUGGGGGGAAUAUACGGGAGGGGAGCCCACGGCAUGGGGGGGGGUUGAGAGAGUUUCGGCGGUUGGGGAUGGACUCGCGGCUUAUCAGCUUGUUGGUGGGGUAGUGGCUCCCCAAGGCUUUGACGGGUAGCCGGCCUGAGAGGGUGACCGGCCACAUUGGGACUGAGAUACGGCCCAGACUCCUACGGGAGGCAGCAGUGGGGAAUAUUGCACAAUGGGCGGAAGCCUGAUGCAGCAACGCCGCGUGCGGGAUGACGGCCUUCGGGUUGUAAACCUCUUUCACUUGUGACGAAGCGUGAGUGACGGUAAUUGGUAAAGAAGCACCGGCUAACUACGUG